AUUGAACGCUGGCGGAAUACUUUACACAUGCAAGUCGAACGGCAGCACGGGGGCAACCCUGGUGGCGAGUGGCGAACGGGUGAGUAAUACAUCGGAACGUGCCCAGUCGUGGGGGAUAAUGUAGCGAAAGCUACGCUAAUACCGCAUACGAUCUACGGAUGAAAGCGGGGGAUCGCAAGACCUCGCGCGAUUGGAGCGGCCGAUGGCAGAUUAGGUAGUUGGUGGGGUAAAGGCUCACCAAGCCUUCGAUCUGUAGCUGGUCUGAGAGGACGACCAGCCACACUGGGACUGAGACACGGCCCAGACUCCUACGGGAGGCAGCAGUGGGGAAUAUUGCACAAUGGACGAAAGUCUGAUGCAGCAACGCCGCGUGCGGGAUGAAGGCC
Molecule: ribosomal RNA, 386 nt
Filed under: uncultured bacterium
Lineage: Bacteria
Description: bacterial SSU rRNA
Rfam family: Bacterial small subunit ribosomal RNA
Source: RNAcentral